RNAcentral lists this ribosomal RNA (229 nucleotides) under uncultured bacterium. Its description in RNAcentral is "partial 16S ribosomal RNA". It matches the Rfam family "Bacterial small subunit ribosomal RNA", at positions 568 to 796 of the family's 1533-position model. The record is from RNAcentral.
UGCGCAGGCGGAAUGAUAAGUCAGUGGUGAAAGCCUACAGCUUAACUGUAGAAAUGCCAUUGAUACUGUCGUUCUUGAGUACAGUUGAAGUGGGCGGAAUGUGUCAUGUAGCGGUGAAAUGCAUAGAUAUGACACAGAACACCGAUAGCGAAGGCAGCUCACUAAGCUGAAACUGACGCUCAUGCACGAAAGCGUGGGGAGCAAACAGGAUUAGAUACCCUGGUAGUCC